Molecule: long non-coding RNA, 721 nt
Filed under: Malus domestica (apple)
Lineage: Eukaryota; Viridiplantae; Streptophyta; Magnoliopsida; Rosales; Rosaceae
Description: long non-coding RNA (MDOM_LNC018781)
Source: RNAcentral
UUUCAUGCAUGAAAUUUGGCCGGAUAAUCGUUCUAAGGCGCGCGAUUGUUGGGUGCAUCUAUGUAGGUUUUGGCUUUUUAGGCAACGAGGUAGGGGAUUUUCUUGCUUACUUUGUCACUAAACUAGAUUGUGUGUUGUUUUACAGCUUUGGUAAUGUAAUAAGUAAUGUUGGGUAAGCAUAUUAUUGGCACUUUUUGUAGAAAGUUCUUCUGCUUAUAAACUUUAGUGUUACUAGUUUGUAGAAAUUUUAACAAAAAAUUCAAGUGUUAUCUAAAAGACACUUAAAAGUUCUUCAACAAGUGUUUUUAUAGAAAACACUUAAUGUUUUUCCUAUAAAAACAAUUAAUUGUCGAAAAACACUUUUUAACCCUUGUAAAAACAAUAUCAAACACACCCCAUUCUUUAGAUAAAAUUUUGAUUGAUGACAAUGUAUUAUUUGUUUCAUGUGUGGACUCACUUUGGAAUUUAUUCGUUCGCAUCAAAUAAAAUGUCAGCAGGCGUCAAUACACUACACCAUGGUGUAAUACGUUCGUGUUCUAUAAGGACAGGCUGUUUUGAUGUCUUAAUUACCGUGGGAUGGUCAAAAUUCAGGCAACAAUAUGGGCAUGUCAUCAAUUCACAUAGUACCACGUGGCAGAUGACAGAAGUGCCAAGUGUUCACUUGGAAACAUGAUCUAAAGGCUGCUUUUAUGAAUAGUGUUAUUCUUACGCGUCUUUUUAC